GGUGUAGUACAACGGCCAGUACAUCAGCCUUCCAAGCUGAGAACGUGGGUUCGAUUCCCCCUCCAGGGGCCA
RNAcentral lists this transfer RNA (72 nucleotides) under Caudoviricetes sp. RNAcentral describes it as "tRNA-Gly". The stretch from base 5 to 61 matches the Rfam family "tRNA", at positions 8 to 63 of the family's 71-position model. From Rfam's summary of the family: Transfer RNA (tRNA) molecules are approximately 80 nucleotides in length. Their secondary structure includes four short double-helical elements and three loops (D, anti-codon, and T loops). Lineage: Duplodnaviria; Heunggongvirae; Uroviricota; Caudoviricetes. The record is from RNAcentral.